AUUGAACGCUGGCGGCAUGCCUUACACAUGCAAGUCGAACGGUAACAGGUUAAGCUGACGAGUGGCGAACGGGUGAGUAAUAUAUCGGAACGUGCCCAGUCGUGGGGGAUAACGUAGCGAAAGCUACGCUAAUACCGCAUACGAUCUACGGAUGAAAGCGGGGGAUCGCAAGACCUCGCGCGAAUGGAGCGGCGGUUAUCAGAUUAGGUUGUUGGUGAGGUAAAAGCUCACCAAGCCUGCGAUCUGUAGCUGGUCUGAGAGGACGACCAGCCACACUGGAACUGAGACACGGUCCAGACUCCUACGGGAGGCAGCAGUGGGGAAUUUUGGACAAUGGACGCAAGUCUGAUCCAGCAAUGCCGCGUGCAGGACGAAGGCCUUCGGGUUGUAAACUGCUUUUGUACGGAACGAAACGGUGAGCUCUAAUACAGUUUGCUAAUGACGGUACCGUAAGAAUAAGCACCGGCUAACUACGUGCCAGCAGCCGCAGUAA
This 493-nucleotide ribosomal RNA is filed under the name uncultured bacterium. Its description in RNAcentral is "partial 16S ribosomal RNA". It matches the Rfam family "Bacterial small subunit ribosomal RNA", at positions 30 to 523 of the family's 1533-position model. The record is from RNAcentral.